RNAcentral lists this ribosomal RNA (497 nucleotides) under uncultured bacterium. RNAcentral's name for it is "partial 16S ribosomal RNA". It matches the Rfam family "Bacterial small subunit ribosomal RNA", at positions 28 to 507 of the family's 1533-position model. The record is from RNAcentral.
GAUGAACGCUGGCGGCGUGCCUAACACAUGCAAGUCGAGCGGACGGACGAUAAGCUUGUGUCUUUGAGGUUAGCGGCGGACGGGUGAGUAACACGUGGAUAACCUACUUAUAUGUCGGGGAUAAUAACGGAAAACCGGAUAUAAUACUAGAUAAUAUUAUGAACCGCUGGGAUCAAAAGUGAAAGACGGCUUUGCUGUCUCAUAUAGACGGUUCCGCGCUGGAUUAGCUAGUUGGUAAGGUAACGGCUUACCAAGGCAACGAUGCGUAGCCGAGCUGAGAGGGUGAUCAGCCACACUGGAACUGAGACACGGUCCAGACUCCUACGGGAGGCAGCAGUGGGGAAUCUUCGGCAAUGGGCGAAAGCCUGACGCAGCCACGCCGCGUGGGUGAUGAAGGUCUUCGGGUCGUAAAGCUCUGUUGUUGGGGAAGAACAGCUGUGGGAGUAUCUGUGGCCGUCUUGACGGUACCUAAUGAGAAAGCAACGGCUAACUACGUG